Molecule: unclassified non-coding RNA, 148 nt
Organism: Macaca fascicularis (crab-eating macaque)
Lineage: Eukaryota; Metazoa; Chordata; Mammalia; Primates; Cercopithecidae
Rfam family: Metazoan signal recognition particle RNA
About the family: The signal recognition particle (SRP) is a universally conserved ribonucleoprotein.
Source: Ensembl
GCUGGGUGUGGUGACACACACCUGUAGUCCCAGCUGCUUAGGAGGCUGAGGCAGAAGGAUCACUUGAGCUCAGGAGUUUAAGGCUGUAGUGAGGUGUAAUUGCACCACUGCAUUCUGGCAUGGGCAACAUUGUGAGACCCUGUCUCUU